Molecule: long non-coding RNA, 469 nt
Organism: Rosa chinensis
Lineage: Eukaryota; Viridiplantae; Streptophyta; Magnoliopsida; Rosales; Rosaceae
Exons: 6
Source: RefSeq, a predicted model, not a curated record
UGAGGUUAGAUAGAGGUUUUGCAUCUGGAAGCCUCUAUCGAACUUCAGUUAAUUUGAUUAUGAUGCAGCCCAAUUCAAGUUUUUGGAGGAGGAGCUGAGUGAAAAUGGCGGUUCCAUUGUUGAAGAAGGUGAUCGUGAAGAAGAGGGUCAAGCAGUUCAAGAGGCCCCAAAGCGACUGCAAGAUCUGCGUCAGGUUUUGCAGUUUUCUAAGGUUGAAUUGCUCCCAAAAGGCUUGGAGAUCCGGUUUCUUUCACAGAAGAGCAAUUGAUUCCCUUUCUUCAAAACAACUGAAAUCUAGGGAAAUGCUUGAAUAUUUUUACAUAGCUGUUUAUUCUCACUGAAUUCAGAAGAAGAGGCAGAGAAUAGAAAGAAGCACAAUCUGAUACAGUGCUUGACAGUCAAUCUAUUAGUGGCAGAGGGGCUCAAAUGCCUGGGGGUCGAAUGUUCAGUCUUUUCGAGCUUUUGUGGC